RNAcentral lists this ribosomal RNA (253 nucleotides) under uncultured bacterium. Its description in RNAcentral is "partial 16S ribosomal RNA". It matches the Rfam family "Bacterial small subunit ribosomal RNA", at positions 524 to 776 of the family's 1533-position model. The record is from RNAcentral.
GACGUAGGGUCCGAGCGUUGUCCGGAGUUACUGGGCGUAAAGGGCGCGUAGGCGGCUUUGUGCGUCACCCGUGAAAGCCCCCGGCUCAACCGGGGAGGGUCGGGUGAAACGGCGGAGCUGGAGGCAGCGAGAGGCUGGUGGAAUUCCCGGAGUAGUGGUGAAAUGCGUAGAGAUCGGGAGGAACACCGGCGGCGAAGGCGGCCAGCUGGCGCUGACCUGACGCUGAGGCGCGAAGGCGUGGGGAGCGAACGGG